Molecule: ribosomal RNA, 253 nt
Filed under: uncultured bacterium
Lineage: Bacteria
Description: partial 16S ribosomal RNA
Rfam family: Bacterial small subunit ribosomal RNA
Source: RNAcentral
UACGGAGGGGGCUAGCGUUGUUCGGAAUUACUGGGCGUAAAGCGCACGUAGGCGGACUGUUAAGUCGGGGGUGAAAUCCUGGAGCUCAACUCCAGAACUGCCUUUGAUACUGGCGAUCUUGAGUCCGGGAGAGGUGAGUGGAACUGCGAGUGUAGAGGUGAAAUUCGUAGAUAUUCGCAAGAACACCAGUGGCGAAGGCGGCUCACUGGCCCGGUACUGACGCUGAGGUGCGAAAGCGUGGGGAGCAAACAGG